UAAAGUUUAAUUUUAGCUUAAAAAUUUAUUAAAUUUUUUUUUUACAUGUAAAUUUAUGUAAGUUAGAUAGUUAAAUUUUAAUAGUUUAUUUAAUAAAGAUUUUUCGCAGUAUUUAAUAUUAAUAAUUUAAGAAAUUAAGAAUUAGAAAUAAAUUUUUAUAUUAACAAAUUUUGUGCCAGCAGUUGCGGUUAGACAAAAAAUAUAAAUAAAUUUUAUUAGUUAAUAAUUAUAAGUUAUUAUUAUUAAAUUAAAAUAAUGUUUAUUAGGUGAAAUUUUUAAGUAUUAAUAUAAUUUAAAUAUAAAAUUUUAUUAUUAUGAAAUUUAAUAUUAAACUAGGAUUAGAUACCCUAUUAUUUUAAAUGUAAAAUUUUUACUUAAGUAGUAUUAGUUAUGUUCUUGAAAUUUAAAAAUUUUGGCGGUAUUUUAGUCUAUUUAGAGGAACCUGUUCUAUAAUUGAUAAUCCACAAUUAAUUUUACUUAUUUUAAAAAAUUUGUAUAUCGUCGUUAUUAGAAAAUUUUAUUAGAAAUUAAAUUUUUAAAAGUUUUUAUUAAUAAAUAAAUCAGAUCAAGGUGCAGUUGAUAUUUAAGAAGAAAUGGGUUACAAUAAAUUUAUUUAUAUGGAUUUUAGUUUUAAAGGCUUUAUGAAGGUGGAUUUAAAAGUAAUAAAAUUUAAAUUAAUUUUAUGAUUUAUAGCUCUAAAAUAUGUACAUAUCGCCCGUCGCUCUUAUUAUAAAAUAAGAUAAGUCGUAACAUAGUAGAUGUACUGGAAAGUGUAUCUAGAAUGAUC
RNAcentral lists this non-coding RNA (787 nucleotides) under Lebiini sp. 2 ACP-2013. Lineage: Eukaryota; Metazoa; Arthropoda; Insecta; Coleoptera; Carabidae. The record is from RNAcentral.